UUAUUCUAUUCUUAAUUAAUUUAUAUUUUUUAUUUAAAAUUUAAAUUAUUUCAAACUUAAAUUUCUUAUCUAUUCUAAUUUUGUUUUUUUUUUAUUUUGUUAGAUUUCAGUGCGUUAAGAGCUAUAAUAUAUUGAGAAAAAAAUUUCUGACGAUAUAAAGCAAUUGAUGAAAGCCCUAUAAACAUUCAAAGAAGGGGCAUUAAAGUUAUAGGAUUUAUCAGUGAAAGAGAGUUAAUGUAUAGGAAUUAGAAAGUUAAUUUUAAGUCUCUUUGUCUUUGUAGAUCAUAUUAUUCUCCCAUUGCUAUGAUAAAUGUAUAUUUAAACCCAUUUAACGAAACAUAGAGUAGGGCUUUCCACUAUCAUUUUAUACAUUGUAAGUACUUUUCGAUUUUUUCGCGUAUUCUAAUGAAUGAAAGCUAAUUAUGAUAUCAUUUUGAUUAAUUGUUAUAUAUAUUGAUUUACUUUUAUAGAAUUGCCCGCUGCAACGCACCGGUAUCUACACUAGUAUAUAUAUUAAUUUGAUAUCUUCUAUUUCCAAGGAAAACAAAUUCUUAAAAAAAACAUAAUAUUUGAGGUUAAAUUUUUUGAUUUUUUUAAUAUUAUUUAUUUGUAAUUAAAAGAAUUCAAAAUCACCAAUUUUAAUGGCUGAUGUGAGCCGCCUACCCGUCUGCAAGUUUGAUGGUAUAAAAAUAUCCAUAUCAGAUGAAAGUUUGACAAAAAAAUUUUUGUACUAUCCAAAAUAAUAUCAAUAUCUUUGAUCGAAAAUUUUAAUACUGUAUCAUCACUUUUUGUGAGAUUUUUAGUUUGAUCCGUCGUUUUGAGCCUUUCAAUUACUAGAUAAAUAAUGUCAAAAAAUUAUAAAAUUUAUUUUUUAGAUAAUUUAAAUAUUCCAAAUCAAGUCUAAUUAAAUAGAUUGUCAAUUCGAAAGUCACAUCAUGAGAAAUAAUUUGAAAGCACUGAGGCCUCCGUACUUCUAAAAACACCUUAGCUGGACUCAAUAAAUGUACGUCAGUACAUUUACUUCUAAUUUGUUUGAUUUGAAUUAGUUAACAAUAUUUUGACUUCAAAUUUUGAAUCAAUAUUUUUUCUUUAUAAGUUUAGUUGGUAUGAUUCAUAUAAUUUUCGCAUAGAUUUUUGGGCAAGUAGACCAAAGCAAUGAAUUUAUUCGUCGCUAAAAAUAAUUCGACAUUUUUAUAUAAUUUUAUAAAAAUAAUUCGGUAUUUUUUUAUAAAAUUUUUUAAUUCUAA
This 1247-nucleotide long non-coding RNA is filed under the name Ananas comosus (pineapple). RNAcentral's name for it is "long non-coding RNA (ACOM_LNC028922)". The record is from RNAcentral. Lineage: Eukaryota; Viridiplantae; Streptophyta; Magnoliopsida; Poales; Bromeliaceae.